GUCCAGGGUUGCCUAGUGGACAUGGCAUCUGCCCGGUAAGCGGAACACUGUGGGUUCGAUUCCCAUCCCUUGACA
Molecule: transfer RNA, 75 nt
Filed under: Cordylochernes scorpioides
Lineage: Eukaryota; Metazoa; Arthropoda; Arachnida; Pseudoscorpiones; Chernetidae
Description: tRNA-Thr
Rfam family: tRNA
About the family: Transfer RNA (tRNA) molecules are approximately 80 nucleotides in length. Their secondary structure includes four short double-helical elements and three loops (D, anti-codon, and T loops). Further hydrogen bonds mediate the characteristic L-shaped molecular structure. tRNAs have two regions of fundamental functional importance: the anti-codon, which is responsible for specific mRNA codon recognition, and the 3' end, to which the tRNAs corresponding amino acid is attached (by aminoacyl-tRNA synthetases). tRNAs cope with the degeneracy of the genetic code in two manners: having more than one tRNA (with a specific anti-codon) for a particular amino acid; and 'wobble' base-pairing, i.e. permitting non-standard base-pairing at the 3rd anti-codon position.
Source: RNAcentral